AAACAACUCUUCCUGCCAUCCAAGGGGCAACUAGUACAUUCUGGACCAUGGGCUGUCAUUUUAGAAAAUGAAGAACUUCCCAAACUGUUUCUUGAUUUCCUAAAUGUGCGACACUUGCCCUCUCUACCAAAGGCAGAAAGUUGUGGAUCUUUUGAUGAAACAGAGUCUGAAGAGUCAAGCAAACUGUCCCACCAGCCUGUGCUGCUGUUCCUCAGGGAUCCAUAUGUCUUGCCUGCAGCCAGCGGUAAUCAAACCUGUCAUCUGCUAACAGCUCUUUACUGAUCUGACCCUGCACCACAUAAACCACGUUUUUAAUACAGGUCUAACAGAGUGACAUUGGUCCCGGGCUUAAUAAUCUGCCAAUAAACCAGUGCUGUUGGUAUAA
Molecule: small RNA, 385 nt
Filed under: Pan troglodytes (chimpanzee)
Lineage: Eukaryota; Metazoa; Chordata; Mammalia; Primates; Hominidae
Description: processed transcript
Source: RNAcentral